RNAcentral lists this transfer RNA (64 nucleotides) under Cavia porcellus (domestic guinea pig). It matches the Rfam family "tRNA". From Rfam's summary of the family: Transfer RNA (tRNA) molecules are approximately 80 nucleotides in length. Their secondary structure includes four short double-helical elements and three loops (D, anti-codon, and T loops). Further hydrogen bonds mediate the characteristic L-shaped molecular structure. tRNAs have two regions of fundamental functional importance: the anti-codon, which is responsible for specific mRNA codon recognition, and the 3' end, to which the tRNAs corresponding amino acid is attached (by aminoacyl-tRNA synthetases). tRNAs cope with the degeneracy of the genetic code in two manners: having more than one tRNA (with a specific anti-codon) for a particular amino acid; and 'wobble' base-pairing, i.e. permitting non-standard base-pairing at the 3rd anti-codon position. Lineage: Eukaryota; Metazoa; Chordata; Mammalia; Rodentia; Caviidae. The record is from Rfam by way of RNAcentral.
GGGGAUUUAGCUUAGUGGCACAAGCACCUAUCUGGCAAGUAGGAGGUCACGAGUUUGAUCCCCA